GGGAAACAGGUUGAAGGGCCAGUCUCAGGCCCCAACAACGAUUGGGGCA
Regulatory RNA element from Ovis aries (sheep), 49 nucleotides. NCBI's taxonomy places the organism in Eukaryota, Metazoa, Chordata, Mammalia, Artiodactyla, Bovidae. The record is from Rfam.